GACGAACGCUGGCGGCGUGCCUAACACAUGCAAGUCGAACGAGCGAGAGAGAGCUUGCUUUCUUGAGCGAGUGGCGAACGGGUGAGUAACGCGUGAGGAACCUGCCUCAAAGAGGGGGACAACAGUUGGAAACGACUGCUAAUACCGCAUAAGCCCACAGGUCGGCAUCGACCAGAGGGAAAAGGAGCAAUCCGCUUUGAGAUGGCCUCGCGUCCGAUUAGCUGGUUGGUGAGGUAACGGCCCACCAAGGCAACGAUCGGUAGCCGGACUGAGAGGUUGAACGGCCACAUUGGGACUGAGACACGGCCCAG
RNAcentral lists this ribosomal RNA (311 nucleotides) under uncultured bacterium. Its description in RNAcentral is "bacterial SSU rRNA". It matches the Rfam family "Bacterial small subunit ribosomal RNA", at positions 28 to 334 of the family's 1533-position model. The record is from RNAcentral.